This 505-nucleotide ribosomal RNA is filed under the name uncultured bacterium. RNAcentral's name for it is "partial 16S ribosomal RNA". It matches the Rfam family "Bacterial small subunit ribosomal RNA", at positions 28 to 507 of the family's 1533-position model. The record is from RNAcentral.
GACGAACGCUGGCGGCGUGCCUAAUACAUGCAAGUAGAACGCACAGUUUAUACCUUUGCUUGCUACACCAUAGACUGUGAGUUGCGAACGGGGUAGUUACGCGUCGCUAACCUGUCUGGUAGCUUGGGGUAACUAGUGGUAACGCUAGCUAAUACCUCAUGAUAUUUAUUGUUGCAUGGUAAUUAAUGGAAGGUUGCAAUUGCAUCACUGCUUGUCGGACCUGUGGUGUAUUAGCUAGUAGCUGAGGUAACGGCUCACCUAGGGGACGAUACAUAGCCGACCUGAGAGGGUGAGCGGCCACACUGGGACUGAGACACGGCCCAGACUCCUACGGGAGGCAGCAGUAGGGAAUCUUCGGCAAUGGACGAAAGUCUGAACGAGCAACGCCGCGUGAGUGAAGAAGGGUUUCGGAUCGUAAAGCGCUGUUGUAAGAGAAGAACGGGUGUGAGAGUGGAAAGUUCACACUGUGACGGUAUCUUACCAGAAAGGGACGGCUAACUACGUG